UAGGGAAUAUUGCACAAUGGAGGAAACUCUGAUGCAGCGACGCCGCGUGAGUGAUGAAGGUCUUCGGAUUGUAAAGCUCUGUUCUAUGGGAAGAAAAAAAUGACGGUACCAUAGAAGAAAGGAUCGGCUAACUUCGUGCCAGCAGCCGCGGUAAGACGAGGGAUCCUAGCGUUGCUCGGAAUCAUUGGGCGUAAAGCGGGUGUAGGUGGCUUUGCAAGUCAGGAGUGAAAGCCCACAGCUUAACUGUGGAAGUGCUUUUGAAACUGCUUAGCUUGAGUGUGGGAGAGGUUAGUAGAAUUCCUGGUGUAGUGGUGAAAUACGUAGAUAUCAGGAGGAAUACCUGUGGGGAAGCCGGCUAACUGGCCCAACACUGACACUCAGACCCGAAAGCGUGGGGAUCAAACAGG
Molecule: ribosomal RNA, 407 nt
Filed under: uncultured bacterium
Lineage: Bacteria
Description: bacterial SSU rRNA
Rfam family: Bacterial small subunit ribosomal RNA
Source: RNAcentral